RNAcentral lists this long non-coding RNA (342 nucleotides) under Ananas comosus (pineapple). RNAcentral describes it as "long non-coding RNA (ACOM_LNC014267)". The record is from RNAcentral. Lineage: Eukaryota; Viridiplantae; Streptophyta; Magnoliopsida; Poales; Bromeliaceae.
GAAAGUAAAAUAUUUUUUUUUUUUUACGUUGUAACGAUUCAAUCCGCUGGUAAUAAUAACUUAUUGGUUUCAAGUUAUUGAUUUAAAAAUAUUUUAAGUCCAGUUAUUAUUAUUAGUAUCUUUGGUCCUUUAUAUACAAAAUUACUAGACGAUGUGAGACUAGUGUUCAUGAACUCCCCAACGACGCUUUGUUGGGAAAUUCCCAAUCUAUUGUUACAUAUUAAUUUUGCCUUCAUCGAUUCAAGAGUUCAUUGGAUGUUUCUUAUUAUUACAAUAAAAAAAACAAAAACUAAGCUCUAAGAGGGAAGAAUUAUAACCCUUGAUUAGAGAUAAAACUAAAAU